AAAAAAAAGAAAAAAAAAAAAAAAAAAUAAGUCUCUCUCUUCUACUCCUUUCUCAGUUACCCAAACCUCUCUUCUCCAUCGUCGGAUCUCUCGUCUCUCAAUAAAAACAAUCCCACCAAUCCCUUCUCUUUCUCUCUCUUUCAUCUCGCGCCAAAUACAAACUCUCUAACUAACCCUCCCCUUUCCCUCUCUCUCUCUCUCUCCAGGGAUUUCGGUUAGAUGGCGGAUAACCCAACAAGUCCGGCAGGAGGGAGCCACGAGAGCGGUGGUGAGCAGAGCCCGCACUCUGGAGUGAGGGAGCAGGAUAGGUACCUGCCUAUUGCCAAUAUAAGCAGGAUCAUGAAGAAGGC
This 350-nucleotide unclassified non-coding RNA is filed under the name Hevea brasiliensis (rubber tree). Lineage: Eukaryota; Viridiplantae; Streptophyta; Magnoliopsida; Malpighiales; Euphorbiaceae. The record is from RNAcentral.